GUAAGUAUUAUUUUCAUAGAUAUCAUCGAUUGCCACUCGGACCUCGUCGAUUUUCCGAUAUGACGAAAAUAAGCCGCACCCUAACGAUAUACCUUUUUAAAUCACAUUAAAGUCGAAUAACUCAAGCUGGACCUGAAACCAAUCAAAGGCUUACAGAAAUCCUUUAAAACUCCACGAAAAGCCCGAAAUAUUUCAGAGUGUAGAUUGACGUUUUUGUGUUUUGCAAUUCUUGCCUGGAGCUGCGUCACAUAAAAAAAAAGGCUAUCUACAUGAUAACUUUUAGAAUAACCCUCUUACCACCCCGCGCCAAGUUAUGACCUCUAUUACUUACUGGUUCUCAUUUUUUCUUCUUUUUCGUUGACAUCUAAAUACGAAUAGACUAGUUUUGUAUGAAUGCAUCUCAACGGUGACACUACCAGACCACGUAUUUCGUUUGCGGUGUUCAAAAAUUCCCACUUCUAAUUUAUUUUUUUUUAAGGAGAACAAAUCAUUAUAAUUUUUUGAAAUUUUCAAAAAGUUUGCUUUGCACAGAGAAGAAUAAUCAGGGUAGUUUUCGCGAGUUAACUUCGGGCAGUUUUUCAUUUAAAAAUUAAAGUAAGACAGGAAGCCUACAGCAUCGCCAACUGAGAUACGUCCUCUGGUACUUUCACCCUCGAUUUGCUUAUUUCCGAGAAAAGAGAAAGGGAACAAACGCAGCUUGAGAAGUUCUAUAAACCUGGAUUUAAUUUUAAAUUUUUUUAUAGAAUCAUAACACAGAAACAAGAAUAAAAAAUAUAGGUAAAUAUCAAGUAGAGCUUACAUGUAUCGUUAAAUGAAAGAAUCACAUUUACAAUUUAUUUCAUCAGGUUUAAAAAUCCUAGCAAUCCCUGAGAGUCAACAAGAACUGGACGUAUUUCUGAAAGUGGUCCCAUCGAAAGUGAUUUGGUGAAGAGCAACAAUUCCGAGUAGUUAUGACUCCUCAAUGACAGAGGAAUAAUAGAUAGAACUAGCCGAAAAAUUAAGAAAUUAGCGAUGUCAGGUGAUAGCAGGCGGCAGAGGAGUGCUCUGUACUAACAAAUUGCUUUCUUUUCUUGUCUCAAAUUUAUAUGAUACA
Molecule: long non-coding RNA, 1093 nt
Filed under: Bemisia tabaci
Lineage: Eukaryota; Metazoa; Arthropoda; Insecta; Hemiptera; Aleyrodidae
Description: lncRNA ENSASIAIIG004923
Source: RNAcentral